Molecule: transfer RNA, 86 nt
Filed under: Flavobacteriales bacterium
Lineage: Bacteria; Pseudomonadati; Bacteroidota; Flavobacteriia; Flavobacteriales
Description: tRNA-Ser
Rfam family: tRNA
About the family: Transfer RNA (tRNA) molecules are approximately 80 nucleotides in length.
Source: RNAcentral
GGAGAGGUGGCUGAGUGGCUGAAAGCGGCACCCUGCUAAGGUGUUAUACCUUCGUGCUAUCGAGGGUUCGAACCCCUCUCUCCCCG